GACCAGAGAGAUGGUGAACUAUGCCUGGGCAGGGCAAAGCCAGAGGAAACCCUGGUGGAGGCCCAUAGCGGUCCUGACUGUGAAUUGGUGGUCAGACCUGGGUCCAGGGGUGAGAGAUGAUUGAACCAUCCUAUAGCUCG
Myotis brandtii (Brandt's bat) is the source of this 140-nucleotide non-coding RNA. NCBI's taxonomy places the organism in Eukaryota, Metazoa, Chordata, Mammalia, Chiroptera, Vespertilionidae. The record is from Rfam.